GUCUGGUUCUUAGACCCUACAUUAAAAUAGUGGGACAUUUGGUAUGGAAGGUACAGCAUGAAGUCCAGUUAAGGUACAGAUCCUCUGAAUAUCCAAUCAUAUGGCCUGGGGAGAAGCCAAGGGCAAAUUGCACAGGCAUGUGAUCUGGCCCACUUUCUCCCAUCUCAGAAGGAGGUAAUCUGCAUUCAUCAGCAGAGCGAGGCAGCUUGAAUAAAAUACACAUAUAAUCCGUUGUUCUUGAGGAAUGUGUCCUUCCGUUUUGCAGAGAAACAGGAAUUAUUGCUUAUGAAAAGCAACAGACAAGAAGAAAGAACAAAAGAA
Molecule: long non-coding RNA, 321 nt
Organism: Mauremys mutica (yellowpond turtle)
Lineage: Eukaryota; Metazoa; Chordata; Testudines; Geoemydidae
Exons: 3
Source: RefSeq, a predicted model, not a curated record